UACGUAGGGGGCAAGCGUUGUCCGGAUUUAUUGGGCGUAAAGAGCGUGUAGGCGGCCAGGUAGGUCUGCUGUGAAAACUCGAGGCUUAACCUCGAGCUGUCGGCGGAAACCACUUGGCUAGAGUCCGGAAGAGGAGAGUGGAAUUCCCGGUGUAGCGGUGAAAUGCGCAGAUAUCGGGAAGAACACCCGUGGCGAAGGCGGCAUCCUGGACCAACACUGACACUGAGGAGCGAAAGCCAGUGGAGCAAACGGG
This 253-nucleotide ribosomal RNA is filed under the name uncultured bacterium. Its description in RNAcentral is "partial 16S ribosomal RNA". It matches the Rfam family "Bacterial small subunit ribosomal RNA", at positions 524 to 776 of the family's 1533-position model. The record is from RNAcentral.